Molecule: ribosomal RNA, 488 nt
Filed under: uncultured bacterium
Lineage: Bacteria
Description: bacterial SSU rRNA
Rfam family: Bacterial small subunit ribosomal RNA
Source: RNAcentral
UUCUGGCUCAGAACGAACGCUGGUGGCGUGUCUAUACAUGCAAGUCGAGCGAGGCAGCAAUGCCGAGCGGCGAACGGGUGAGUAACGCGUAAGCAAUCCGCCCCAUAUCAGGAAAUACCCGUGCCAACGCGCGGUUAAUGUCCAGGAGAGUGGCCUUCCGCAUGGAGGGUUGACUAGAGAUUUAUCGGUAUGGGAUGAGCUUGCGUCCGAUUAGCUAGUUGGCGGGGCAACGGCCCACCAAGGCGACGAUCGGUAGCCGGCCUGAGAGGGUGAUCGGCCACAUUGGGACUGAGAUACGGCCCAGACUCCUACGGGAGGCAGCAGUAGGGAAUAUUGCACAAUGGGGGAAACCCUGAUGCAGCAACGCCACGUGUGGGAAGAAGCAUUUCGGUGUGUAAACCACUGUCAUGAGGGAAUAAGGCCCUUAUUCGUAAGGGAUUGAAUGUACCUUGAGAGGAAGCACCGGCAAACUUCGUGCCAGCCGCCGC